CAAGUCGAGCGGACAGAUGGGAGCUUGCUCCCUGAUGUUAGCGGCGGACGGGUGAGUAACACGUGGGUAACCUGCCUGUAAGACUGGGAUAACUCCGGGAAACCGGGGCUAAUACCGGAUGCUUGUUUGAACCGCAUGGUUCAAACAUAAAAGGUGGCUUCGGCUACCACUUACAGAUGGACCCGCGGCGCAUUAGCUAGUUGGUGAGGUAACGGCUCACCAAGGCGACGAUGCGUAGCCGACCUGAGAGGGUGAUCGGCCACACUGGGACUGAGACACGGCCCAGACUCCUACGGGAGGCAGCAGUAGGGAAUCUUCCGCAAUGGACGAAAGUCUGACGGAGCAACGCCGCGUGAGUGAUGAAGGUUUUCGGAUCGUAAAGCUCUGUUGUUAGGGAAGAACAAGUGCCGUUCAAAUAGGGCGGCACCUUGACGGUACCUAACCAGAAAGCCACGGCUAACUACGUGCCAGCAGCCGCGGUAAUACGUAGGUGGCAAGCGUUGUCCGGAAUUAUUGGGCGUAAAGGGCUCGCAGGCGGUUUCUUAAGUCUGAUGUGAAAGCCCCCGGCUCAACCGGGGAGGGUCAUUGGAAACUGGGGAACUUGAGUGCAGAAGAGGAGAGUGGAAUUCCACGUGUAGCGGUGAAAUGCGUAGAGAUGUGGAGGAACACCAGUGGCGAA
This 679-nucleotide ribosomal RNA is filed under the name Bacillus sp. DBT8. Its description in RNAcentral is "bacterial SSU rRNA". It matches the Rfam family "Bacterial small subunit ribosomal RNA", at positions 58 to 719 of the family's 1533-position model. Lineage: Bacteria; Bacillati; Bacillota; Bacilli; Caryophanales; Bacillaceae. The record is from RNAcentral.